This 27-nucleotide small RNA is filed under the name Bombyx mori (domestic silkworm). RNAcentral's name for it is "ovarian small RNA-21029". Lineage: Eukaryota; Metazoa; Arthropoda; Insecta; Lepidoptera; Bombycidae. The record is from RNAcentral.
UACGAUAUUGAGUAGCAGGUCUAUCAC